RNAcentral lists this ribosomal RNA (253 nucleotides) under uncultured bacterium. RNAcentral's name for it is "partial 16S ribosomal RNA". It matches the Rfam family "Bacterial small subunit ribosomal RNA", at positions 524 to 776 of the family's 1533-position model. The record is from RNAcentral.
GACGGAGGAGGCAAGCGUUAUCAGGAAUUAUUGGGCGUAAAGGGUACGUAGGCGGCUGGUCAAGUCUGGGGCCAAAGGCCACAGCUCAACUGUGGGAAGGCCCUGGAAACUGACCGGCUAGAGUGAGGUAGGGGUUGCGGGAAUUCCCGGUGUAGCGGUGAAAUGCGUAGAGAUCGGGAGGAACACCUGAGGCGGAAGCGCGCAACUGGGCCUCAACUGACGCUGAGGUACGAAAGCUAGGGGAGCGAAUGGG